Molecule: long non-coding RNA, 2718 nt
Filed under: Pomacea canaliculata
Lineage: Eukaryota; Metazoa; Mollusca; Gastropoda; Architaenioglossa; Ampullariidae
Description: uncharacterized LOC112573315
Source: RNAcentral
AUUCCACGACGUAUUACACACACACACAAUGGUCGACGAGCCCCCCAACCUCCCCCCUCCCACCGCAGAUGAAUAGGUGCAUCGAAUCGAAGAGACACAAGCUUAGAGGAAUGUCACCGACAGAGUUAUAAAGAUGGCGGAGAAGACCAGUGUGUUUCCCGCUCACUCGGCUAUUUUUAGAGAAACUGGUGUCUUACAUAUGACGUCUUUUUCUGCUUCAAAUGACGUGGGACAAAUGACGCACACAUGACGUCAGACACAAUACGUCAUUUGUACAGGAAACACUCCACGAACUACAACUCACUGCAGUCUGAGGCCCAACAGAGCAGACGUCAGUUCAUGUCAACACUUAUCUUCAGGCGACCUUCCUGACUAUACUGUCCGGGUACUUCUACUGACCAUCCACGCUGGUGUUCCGGUCAUGUGCCUCAGUUCACGUGGGUUCCAUCCGCUAUAGCUCCAGCCGACGGGAAGUCGCUGCCCAGAGGCAACGUGGAGAAUUGAAAGGGCAGGGAGAUCGCCGACCUUCCUGCUGGUGCUGGGGAUGACUACCAGAUCUCCUCCAUCCGCUGUGCUGUGGAUGACCGCAGUGCUUUCCUCUCUCAUCCGGGCAAUUACCUCAUGUGACCAGCCAGUCGUACCAGCUUCCAAGUCCAGCAGCUUGUGCAGCAGUCCUUUCAUUAAUGGAACGGACUUCGGCAGUCGUUCUUUCAUCUGCACUGCUCCGCUUAAUGCGCUCAGACAGCGGCGAUGUUCAGAUGACUAAGAGCGUAUGAGUUGUCUGCCCUGCCUCGGCUCACUUUUUUCUGAUUCAUCAGCCAACUCGUCCACACGCAUCUUGAUGGAGACCGCACGUGCGCAACGCAUACUGGGGAAGACACGCAGCAGGCUCCUCAGACAGCACCAAGGCGGGCUUUGCCCACAGAAGCCUCGACAUGCGGUUCCAUCAGAGAUACCGGCGGGACACUUUGUCGCACGAAGUGCUUCCUGUUUUCUUCGAGCGAUGACCGACCGAGGGCCAUUCAGGAGAAAAUGUAUCCAACUACUGCCAACACAUUCGUGGCGUAGACUUAAUUCCCGCCCAACCAUUCUUCAAACUGCGCCCCUGGGCCCUGGAAAUUAUUCUUUGGAAACGAUUCAUCAACACACAUUCACCUGGCGUGGCACCGAAGAGCUGUGCACACAGACCGGACGGUCCCACAAUGCCUAUCUGCGGGCUGCUGUCCGCCUGCCGUCUGUAGGUCACUUGUCUGCGUGCGUCCGCGCGUUGUCUGUUGACGGCCGCUUGUUCCGGCCUCACCCCGCCGCACAGCUCUGUCAAUAGUGGGACGCGCACAGAUCACUGGCACGUGAAAGUCGCCACAGCACCGUGAAACAGGCAUUUACACUAAUCCUGGAUCAAUGGAGCUCGGCGUGUUAAUGGCAUCACGCACUCACAGACACGCAUGCACGCACUAUGCUCUCCACAGCACGUAUACAUACGGCUCGCACGCAAACAACCCACGACAAACAUUCGAUGCGCGUGGCCGCACACACACACACGAGCACCGAUACACGCGCGCAGACAGACAGGCACACCAAAACACAUACACUAAUACCGCGGUAUACAAUCGUGUUUGCCCAUGUAUGUGCGUGCGCACGCAGGCACAACAAAACACACAAGCAUGGAACUGAACCACGUACGCACCGUCGCACGCAUUAACAAACGCACGCGCACUCCAUUGCUAUGCGUACGCACUCAUGCGAAAGACAGGUCCGGAGGGAAGGGUGGGUACUGCGAGAGAAGUAGUGGGGAGGAAGGGGGAGUGGGCGAGGGUGGAGAGAGGGGAGAGAGAGAGGACGAGACAUGCGCACGGCAUCUGGCCACGCGGAUGAUGGCGGCAGCAGCUAGCGGCAGCGAGGUCCCGAGAUCAUUCACAUAACGCAACUGCCGACCUGCCCAGACGCUUGAUCGAUGACUUGCGUCCGGACAUCACAAAGAACUUGACCGUGUUGAUUACAUCAUCCCCACCACCGCGCGCGCCAUCUCUCCCCCUUCCCAGCACUCUUCCACCACCACUACCACCACCACCACCACCAUCACCAUCCACAGCUUCCCGCGGCCGCCAUCGUGCUACCGUGGAACAACCGUUUCCACGCCACCCAGGACUCUCGUGCAACGCGCACGUGCCCCCUCAACCCGUGAACCAAGAGAGCGCCCCUUUCAGCAAAGGAAUUGAACCCCUAGGGUUUCCUUCCGGUGAGGUGCCUUCUGACUGUAACAAUGGAAAUGUUGCCAGGUGAACAGAGCUCACAGACACUAGACUAUUUCGUUGUCUUUAUAGAUUAUUUUGAGAAGAUGGUAACAAGACGCAUUAGGUUGAAACAAAAAUGAAGUUCAUAAAAUCUUUAUAAAGAAACAUGACAAUAAACACAUCAAUAUGAACGCCAGCCCAUAAACAAAAAAACUAAUAGAGUUAGAGGUUUCUAAGCCUAAGGGCCACAGGGGCAGUGUAUAUGGUCCAUUAUGGACACCAAAUGUGGAAACAAAAAUCGCUCCUCUUCUCCCUCUCCCCUGAUAACUCUGGUAUUAGUGCUGGGAGGGUAGAGGGAGCCACAAACCCAAGCAGCCAAGGACACAUGCUAAGGUUACCCUGCCUCCCCAAAGGUGUCGAAAUGUUUGCUUAUGAUACGUUGUGUGGCGUUAAAGGAAGAGAUCGGACAAUGCUUGACUCGUGC